AACACUCCCAAACACGAGCCCAUCCCCUCCCCGUCUUGGCGUCUCUCAAUGUGCAGCGCCGCUCACCUCACCGGCGACCCGAAUCCCUCGCCGUCCCCGUACAUGAUACCCGGCGCGUGUCCACUUGGUCUCCGUUCCGCUCCGCCGCGCUGCGAGGUGCUUUACCUGUCUCAUGCAUCUGAUUCAAGCGAAGCUGGAUGACAAUUUGCUAGUUCUGUGUCUUCCUGCCAUGGUAUGUUUAGCAGGGAAGAGUCCUUCCUAAAGAGCACAAUUGUGUUGUAUGUGGGUGACAUGGCAAGUACACAUGUGGCCAAAUAAUGGAAGCUUUUGACUCUGUUAAUGCUUUUUCGAAGCGGACUCUGUUAAUGCUAGGUAUCUGCAAAGAAACAGUUAUGUUCCCAGUUGACAAAAUCUCUAGUUGUUCAAAUGUGCAGUUGUGGCACUUAUGGACUAGCAAGGACCAUUUGCAGUUGCUCCUGUUGGUGGAAGAGCAAGCAAUAGUGCUUCAAAAGGAUCUACCUUUUAAAACUUCUCUAUGGCGAUCCUUUGCCCCAGAAAUGGAGAAAUUGAGAUGUGUGGUACCACUAUCUAUAGUAGGCUGGUUGAUCCUACAAUGUUGAACCUUAUAAUCUUCUGCACCCUUGUUUGGAUGAUUUAGAUUGUUUAAAGUCAAUGACAUGUAGGUAUUUAUAGGCCAUGUAACUCUUUCAAGCACUUCCACAAGACCUAAUUGCGUCAUUUUAACCAGGUUGUGAUGUUUCAGCAUUCAGCAGCAGUAUGUUUGAUCAGGAAGACUAAAACUCUGGUGACAGUAAUAUAUGUACCAGAUGGAAACAAAGUAAGCUGUACAAAGGAUUUGAACAACUGAACAAGUAGUCACCAUUGUGGAGUUGUAGAAUUUUCAUUACAGGAGAAAUAUCUGCCACUGUUUCUAACAAGUUUAUGGACAGAGUAUGAAUCGUGGAUUUUGAGAGUAUGCCAAGUCAUAUUUAGUUAACCUGAAAAAUUCCUCCAAGCAGUAUCUUGAAUGGAGGACGGGGAUGUGUUAAUUUCUUUGCGAUUGAGGAUGACUGCAAGAUUUUAGUUGGUCUGUUCAUUCUCUGAAGCCUGUCGGAGUGCAGUGGCGACUCUUCGUCUCUUUGACAUGCAUUCUAUAGCAUAAAUUCAUAUGACAAAUGUAAAUUAUCUGCCCCUAUGUCAGUGUAAACAAUAUAUGAGUCAAAUACAAAGGUAUGAUUUGCAGUUUUCCUUUAUCCUAUUGUAGUUGUUCAAGUUUUUGAUUUGUGAAAGUAAUUGUUAGAAUCCGUUUGUAGUUAAUGAGUUACAUCACAGCUUUAGAACAUUUGAUUCUGUACUUGUGUGGCUAGCUCUAGCACAGGCAACUAUGAUUGAUGUCUUACCAUAUAUAGGAGUGACUCUAUACUCUCCCAGCAGAAAGCUGGACAGAUCUUGGUAGCUAAUAAUUUAGUGCAAAUCAGCCAUUCAACUCAUUUUGGUUUUAGGAUAUUUGCUGUUUCCUUUCAAGAAGCAUGGAGUCAUUUUGCUCCCUUAUUGUACGAUGCCCCUUAGCAUAUGUUACUCUUACGGCGACUUCUUUUGCUGUAGUUUUGGUCCCUUCUAGUCUAGAUACUUAAGGAAUUUUCUUGGUUGUCAAUCUGCUCUGUGUUUUCACUCGGGAAUGCAAUGAUUAACCCGUUUGCCACAUUCUAUCUAGACCUCCUGCUCCUCCAUAUUGAAUUAUAGGGUCAAAUUUGUGACCUGGUUGCUUGUGGAUAUAUCUAGUAUCAAACAAUCAAGGUGUCCGGUAUAGGUUGAUUAUGUCGGGUAAUAUGUGCUCUUUCUGAACUUCUUUUGUAUAGAGAAGUUAUACUUCUAUUGUAUUGAUUGUACUUGGUUGGGAAUUAAGUUACGCUCUGGCCAUUUCUAAAAUGAGACUGAGAGGGAAAUUUUAUAAUAUGUGGGUUACUCGUUUGUCAUCUUUUGAAAGCAAAUGGACAAAUACAUAUAACAUGACCUCAGUCCUAUUGUUGCUUUGAAGGUUGCUUUUGCACAAUGUAGGCCUGGCACAUUUAUGCUCUUGAAACUGUUCGCCUGGGUUCUUGUGCUCUAAGUGUCAUCACCUGCCUAUAACUCUUGACUAUCAUAUUCUGGUUAAAAAAUUUCUUGACUAUCAUAGGGUCCAUGCAUUCAGGUCUGUUAGUCUAUGUUUAGCUUAAGGAUAUUAUUCUGAGAAAUAGAAGAUCUGCACAACUAUUUAGGUUGCAAAUAAUAAGUGAGACCGAACAUCAUUCAAGUAUAAAAGAAUUCAAAUGAUGAAAUUGAAAUUGUGGCUGUCGAAAUAAACAGUUUAUGCAUGUACCAAGACCAACACCAUGACUUCACAUUUUUCAAACGAACAAAUUAUUACACUAGACAAUAUUGAUGCCAGACUUGAAUCAAAUACAAUUGCGCCAUUAGUGUUUAUGUGAUAGGUGGAAAAGCCCCCCCCCCCCCCCCCCGGCCCCUGCGUCGCUCCCAGGGGGCGACUCGGGUGGCGAAACCCUAGCCGCCACCUCAAACUCCCCUCGCCGUCGCCGGAGGAUACCGGCGGGCGAAGCCCUCGCCGGUGGACGGCGGCGGCGGGGCCCUCGUCCGUGAGCUCGCGCGCUGCUGUUUGUGCGCUGGAGCGGCGGGAGCGCGCGGUGGCGAGGCAGGCGGUCGUCUGCGCUCCGGGGAGGCCGUGAUGGUGUGGAACGCGUGCGCGGUGGCGCUGCUGUGGCGGCGGCCGGCCGCUGCUACGAGCAGCAGAGAUGAGGGCGCCCAGAUCUGGGUUGCGCGUUUCUGCCCCAACCCACCCGUCCCCCUCCUUCCACCCUCCCGGCCGCCGCCGGUGGUAGCCGCUGGGCGGGUGAGCACGCGCGCGGCGGCCCUUGCCCCGGCGAUUCCUGGCGGCGGAUGCUGCGGGCCGGCGUGGCGGCGGCGCGGUGCACGUGGCUGUUGUCGCCUGCUCGCCGCGCUCCCGGCGGUGGCCCUCACGAGUGCGGCUCUCCACAAUGAAUAUGAGGACGAGAGCGGCCCUCACGAGUGCGGCUCUCACUACCAGAAGGAGUGGGUAGUAGCGGCGGAGCACUCGAGCGAGAAGGUACUGGUGGAGCAGCAACUUGAGCAGCAAGCACAGAUGGAACUUGAAGCAGACCGGCACCACGAAGGCGAGUCUCCUCAGCACGAAGCUCAGAAAGCACCUCAGAAAUAGGAACACGGCCACGAGCAAACAACUGAGCACGCCGAGGCUCAAACUCCCCACGGAGCCGCGACAGAAACUCAUAGACACGCUGAAACUCCAAGUCGGACCUCACAGUCUGGCAACAGGCGCAAGUGCCACAAACAGCAGUGCGAAGGGAGUCAAGCUGGCGCCAGAUAGCAGAACUCUGAGUGUAGAACUCAUCAAUAGUGGAGUCUCCCUGCUGAAGAGCAUGCUCCUGACGUACCACAGACAAGUAGAGAGCAUCACCAGAGGGCUGAUAGCGCUGACGAAGAUGAGUCCACAUCUCAAACACAGUGCCGAGACCCAUAAACUCAGAAGCAAACUGUGGUAGAACACUGGCAGUGAGGACAGCAGCUGCACGAGCAUCAUCAUCACACCACUGAGUGUAAGCAGCCAGAUCAUCACGAUAAACGGAAAGAGCAUCCGAAUAAACCACGACCUGCUGGUCAUAAGCAGCAACCGCAUCAUCAGCAGCAACUCGGGCUGCAGCCCUAUCAUCAUCAGAAGCAUUUGCCGCAAGAUCCGGUGGAGGCGGCGGUGGGAUAGGAGCCACAGGAGGAACCGGGCGCUGAGGACAAGGAACCUCGCCGGAAAGAACUCCCCAGAGACGAAGGACACGCAUGUGAAUGCGCAUAAAAGCAGCAAACUCAGCAUAGCUAGCCCCAUCAAAAAUCACCGGGCAGCGCGGAAUGGCGACAUAGCCCAACGAGGUCGAAGACAUGGUGUGCUCUCUGUACCUCUUUUUUUUUUACCUUCUCUUUUUUUUAAUCAAUCCACACAACCGAUCGAUGAAUCCAGAGUAAGUCAAACGAUAGAAGCAGCGCCCGCAGCGCUCGUACACCAGAAUCAGAGGAGCAAAGUUGCGGCGACCCGACCUGGGUGAGCCAAAGGCCAGCGGCGGCGGCCGGACCAGAGCGCCAGUCAGAGACGCGGAGGCGGCGGCCGGACCUGAGCGCCAGUCAGAGACGCGGCGACGACUGCCGGACCUCGAGCACCAGCCCGAGACGCGGAGGCGGCGGCCGGACCCGAGCGCCAGUCAGAGACGCAGCGGCGGCGGCGGCCGGACCUCGAGCACCAGCCCGAGACGCGACGGCGGCGGCCCGACCUGGAAGAGCAGAAGGCCGAUGGGGGAUGCCGGACCUCGAGGCGGCAGGGUGCCUCGAGUGGCCGGACUUCGCUGUUUGGCGGGUAGAGACGAGACGGAGAUCGGCUACGAGACGCGUCAGGAGCACUAGCACGAUCUGGCAAACGGGAUCGGCGGCAGAGCAAAGAGAUUGACUUCACGGAGAGGAGCAGCAGCGACUGGUUCGAUGAGACCAAGUCUCGAUGGGAUCCAACAGCCAGCUAUGGAUCGAUGUGUGGACGCCCGCAGGAGCGGAGGAGCAGAAUGAGCCGGUGAGAGAUUGGAUCGAAAAAAAAACUAGAGCUCUAAUACCAUGUUGAGAGGAGAACAACUUGUAUUAUUAGGAGGUCAAAGCCAACAUAUAUACACAUACAUGAGGAUGCCAAAAGGCUCAAGAGGAUGCCAAUAGACUAGAAUGCAAAAGGCCAAAAGACUAUAUUAAUAUAACUCUAACAGUACCUCUGAUGUCUUCCUGUUCAAUGAAAUGAAACGCAAAGUCUCUUGCGUUUUCUCGAAAAAAUACAAUUGCGCCAUGCAUAUUUUUUAAAUAGUAUCAGAUUUGAUCUAUGUCCUAUUGCCGUAUGAAAGUUGUUGGUCCAGAAGUUCGAACUAGUUCACUUGGCCUUUCUGGACUGUUUUUUUCAAAAAGAAAAUGUUGGUGAUGUGCAAUAACUAGACACUAACCAGUAGGACCAGGCAAACCACUAUAUAUUCAUUCUUCAAAGGUAUGUCAGCGGGAGCUGUCAAAAAGUUAGUUUAUUCUAGUGAAAUAAUGUUUUUACAAAAUUACAGGUUUAUUUUCAAAUCUAUAAAGAACUAAAGGGUUAAGCAGCAAUUUAGCAUAGAGUAGCCUUCCAUACCUAUUCUGUAGCCUGGUCAACUGCGAUGCUAGAUGUUCGUCUGCAUUUUUAUUACCAUGUCGGGCCAUCGCUAUUAACACUGAAUUCUCAAAACAUCCUAGAAAACAUUUACUACUUCCUUGAGAAGUUUACCCCUUAUCUCUGUACUUCUUCAAGCUCGAAAAAAGAACUCUGUACUUCUGCAAGAUUAAUGAGUAAAUCUUCAGUUUUUCGAUGUUUUGACCGCCGCCUGUAGUCUUGGAAAUUUUUCUCUAGUAUUAUACGAUGGUCGAAAUUGGGGAUCUUUUCUGCAUGCAUACCACGGUUACACUGUGACAUAUACUAAAAUGUUGUUCUGAAAGUCUUAGUGUAAUGUAUGUGUAAACUGAAAUAAAGGGUAUGCAUUAUUUAUUUUGUUCUAUGGACAGGAUUGUUGAAAUAAACCCAAGAUAAUGAUUCAUCAAGCAUAUAACCAUUCUGAAUGGCUAUGAGCCUUUGAUAGUGUCAAGAUCUAACAACUAGCUAGGACCACCAGCAGUACUAAGCCCUCCUAAGAGGGGUAGGGGUCUGAUCAUACACUAAGCAGUUAUACUUACCAACGCUUUGCAAUGGGUGGUUGGCUGAUCUACAGCUAGCUGCUUGCAGAAAUGCUGGUCAGACCUGAUUCUUUUAGAGUGAUGUUUUAGAGAAUGUGCAAGAGCUUUGCACAUUUUAUCAUGAAGAAGCGUGCCAGAUGUGAUUUAUCUUUGAUAAAAGAAGUAUCGAUACCGAUAAACCCAGAGUGUGCGUACACACUAACUGCAGACCAAAGCAUUCCAAUAUUUACUAAGCAGGUUCAUUUCCUAUGUGCAUUAUGAAUUAGCUGUGUCCGCACAUAACAUGUUUCGUUGGCAUCUUCCUAAACAUGGUAAAUUGGCGGUUCUCUCAUGUUGGGUCUCUUUUACGCUAUAGCUUUGCGUAGUAUAGCAAUUUACUCGCUGGAUAUUUCAGCAGUCCAAUGUGUUUGGAACUCGGAAUAGUUAUAAAAGUAUGGUGGUAUACUUUUGAUUUGAACCAUCUGGUAAUCUUUGAUUCAAUUUUUACAGGUCACAAUACAAUGACAAAAUCUAGACUCUCGGCCCUAAUCAACCCUAAUUUCUUUACUUCUUAAUUGCAAAUUUAUGGUUCACUAUUUGAUGCAUGGUUAAUACUCCAUUUUUUUCUUUUGGGUGUUUUUUCGGAGAAAGAAGUUUAGGCAAACUUAUUUUUCAAAUGAUGUUGUCUCAUAUCUGAGUAUAUAUUGCAUAGUCUUCGCAAAAAGGUAUACAUUACAGUGGAAACCAUGCACUGCAAGUGUGCGGUUGCUGAUAUACCAAUUACCAAGUCUUAUGACCCUAACCCUACAAGUUUCUAUACCAAUAAUACUACAAGUUAGGUGAGAUGCUUUCCGUUUGAACUAUUUGUGAAUCCUUAAUUCAGUUUAUAAAUCACAAUACAUUGGUUGUUGGCAAAAAAUAGACUCUCAACCCUAAUCACUUCUAUAUUAAUAGGCACAUGAUUAGUCUCUGAUAUAGUCUUUUGUUACAACCUAGUGUGAACUUAUCCCUCGAGUGGUUUAUGGGAGAAAUAAUUUCAGUGAGCUUCUAUUUUAAAUACGUUUUUCUUUGUAUGUGUGAAUUGCCUUAAAAAUACUUAUCAUAUCUGUCCUACUUAUGCUCGUCUGUUCACUCUUCUCCCAAUCUUCCUCCUUCAAACUCUGACAGGGCAGGACCAUGCAAACCUUCACGGUCCUCCUGAAUUCCCCCCUCGUGCCGUCUCCUUCCACUAAUUACAUUCGGACCAACUGUCAAACAAGUUCUUGUUCUUGGGUAUACCAAAUUCCACCUUGUUUUCUGUGGUUCGUGGCGUAGCACAGGCACCUUGCUGGUAAGCAGUAGAAUAUAGUGGAAAUGUACACUUAAAAUUGAUUCUUCACUUACAAGCUAAGGAAUGCAUGACGUCCUUUGUCUAACAGUUUACGUUUGCAGCCUCCUCUUUAUCCAAAAGUUGAAACAUAGCAGCUUUCCAUUUUUCUACUCAUUGGCAUUGCCAGGGUAAUACUCCUGCUAUCUUUACCAUCCACUUGACAAUGUCAUUAAUCAAUUAGUUGGCAUGUACAUGCACCAUAAUUUGGGCCAUUUUAGGUGGAUCUGGGGGAUAACAGUGUCAACAUCGCUGGGUAACUUAAUGCGAUAUGCCUUACAAAUGUUGAAUGUUGAUUAGGAUGGCAUCGCCAGAUUGAUUCCAAUGAGUGUAGCAAAGGGCAAAGUUAAUGUUGGGGGACCAGUACACCUACACUACUGGACAUAUUGAAUGCAUGCUUUUGCAACAUGGGAGGUCCUUCACCAGCUACUGUGGCACCACAAGAUGUCAAGGCGGGACUAGUAUGAUCUUUUUCAGAAAAUAUAGCAGCAGCAGCAGUGUCACUACCCUAAAUCAUUGGAGCAUCAUAUAUCUAACAAUUUGUUCUGCAGGACAUAUUAGGAGCACUAAUUGUCAUAAUAUUUCAGCUUUGCUGUGCGGAGCCCAUUUAUUAUGUUUUGAUGGAUGGAGACCUGAAGUGGUGAUCACCUUUUCUGAUAACAAGGACAUGACGAGAAAGGCAAACUGAUUUGUUUGUAUCUAAGCAUCCCAACUCAGUAGGGAUCUCGCUAUAUUGGCAUCGCUUUUGCUUCUGGCCACCACCAUUGGAUUUCACCAAGGUCUUAAUCAGCAAUUUUCUUAGAGCAUCUGAUGAUUCGUGACUGAUCCCUUGUGUAUUACAAGAGGGUUACACACGGGAACAUCCAGGAAUUGCAUGGAGAGUCUCAUGCGCAGGAGUAAUUGAUUGACAGAUGUUUUCGGUAAAUCGCAUUCUUCGUCUCGUUUGGGCUUACCAAAUGAUUUCGAAAACUCGGGGUGCACGCUAUCUCUUACCUUCGGUGAUUACUCCUUCCGGCUAUACGAAGUACUAACAUGCCGCAUACAUGUUCAAAAUUUUGUGCUUGCAUAGUUGCAUUCAUAUGAUGGUCCAUUUACAAAUUUUGGAACCUUGUUCUUAAUUAGGGUUACGACUAUGGGACUAGAAUGAACAGUGCUUACAGACGACUGUCUUGUCAAACUAAGAAUGUGCAAAUAUCACCUCACCAUAUUCCGGAUAUCCCUUUGAUGAAGAGAGACGCUUAAAUUCGCCCGACUGAAAACAACACUUCAUCUGUAUAGUCUAACAAAGGAAAUCAAAUGCACAAGAGUACUGCACUACAAGGUGUUUAUUCCAUUUA
Molecule: RNA transcript, 8484 nt
Organism: Triticum aestivum (bread wheat)
Lineage: Eukaryota; Viridiplantae; Streptophyta; Magnoliopsida; Poales; Poaceae
Exons: 4
Source: RefSeq, a predicted model, not a curated record